UACCUGAUUCAGCGGCGGACGGGUGAGUAAUGCCUAGGAAUCUGCCCGAUAGUGGGGGACAACGUUUCGAAAGGAACGCUAAUACCGCAUACGUCCUACGGGAGAAAGUGGGGGAUCUUCGGACCUCACGCUAUCGGAUGAGCCUAGGUCGGAUUAGCUAGUUGGUGAGGUAAUGGCUCACCAAGGCGACGAUCCGUAACUGGUCUGAGAGGAUGAUCAGUCACACUGGAACUGAGACACGGUCCAGACUCCUACGGGAGGCAGCAGUGGGGAAUAUUGGACAAUGGGCGAAAGCCUGAUCCAGCCAUGCCGCGUGUGUGAAGAAGGUCUUCGGAUUGUAAAGCACUUUAAGUUGGGAGGAAGGGCAGUAAGCUAAUACCUUGCUGUUUUGACGUUACCAACAGAAUAAGCACCGGCUAACUUCGUGCCAGCAGCCGCGGUAAUACGAAGGGUGCAAGCGUUAAUCGGAAUUACUGGGCGUAAAGCGCGCGUAGGUGGUUCAGCAAGUUGGAUGUGAAAUCCCCGGGCUCAACCUGGGAACUGCAUCCAAAACUACUGAGCUAGAGUACGGUAGAGGGUGGUGGAAUUUCCUGUGUAGCG
RNAcentral lists this ribosomal RNA (600 nucleotides) under uncultured bacterium. RNAcentral's name for it is "bacterial SSU rRNA". It matches the Rfam family "Bacterial small subunit ribosomal RNA", at positions 84 to 680 of the family's 1533-position model. The record is from RNAcentral.